GAAUUAUAAGCUUUUACUGUAUAUUGAUUAUAGAAAAUAGUCUACUGUCAGGGUACAUAAACCCCUAAAGGCGUAAAUUAAGAUGGGUAUUAGUACACGAGGGAAUCAAACCUUUACAUAUGCACACACAGUGAUGACAAUACUGUAAGGAAAAGUUAAGUACACCAUUAUAUAAAAAUAAAAAUUAGGGGGAAAAUAAAAAGAAGAAAAAAGGAAGAAAAAUGCAAAAAAAAAUGUGAUUGUUUAUUCAGCCUACAACCCCAGCAGUGACAGUAUACAGUGUUGACCAAGUGUGUGUGUGUGUGUGUGUGUGUGUGAGGAUGGGUGAGGAUAGAGGGGAGAAGGGCCAUACAGUCAGCUGCUCCAGCAGUGGCAACAAUUCUAGCAACAUACGAUGACGGGCAAAUAACGUGGUGUUUAGAAGUGAUAAUCGUUUUUUCUCUUCAAACGUUUAAGGGAACUGUUAUUCAGCUGUGCAGCUAGUGUAAUAUCGUCGCUAAAGACACACAACAACAACAACAGCAGUGCUAACGAGGCUGACAAUGAUGGUUGCAGUGGUGAUGGUGGUGGUGGCAAUAACACAUAUUUGAAAAGCGAGGGGGGAAGCUGAAAGGCCAGACAUGGUGCAAUUUUUCGGGAAUAAUAAUAAUAAUAAUAAUCUUUUCUACUACAGACAAGAGGCCUGAAAUUUGUGGGGAGGGGGCCAGUCGAUUUGAUCAACCCCACUAUGCAACUGGUACUUAAUUUAUCGACACUGAAAGGAUGAAAGGCAAAGUCGACCUCGGCGGAAUUUGAACUCAGAACCCGAAGACAGACGAAAUGCCACUAAGGAUUUUGCCCAGCAUGCUAACGAUUGUGCCAGCUCACCACCUUAAUAAUAAUAAUAGAUAAAUCAUCAUCGCUUGGAACUGCAAGAAUUCUCUGCAAGGUUCUUGAAGCAUGAUCAGUAAACCAGUGUCACCUUAGUCCAGUGGUUGUGGACAGCUGACACUUUCCAUCAUACCCAGCAAAAUGAAACUGGAGAGUUUUUCUUCAUGAUAUAAUAAACAGUGGUUAUUUUCUAACAUAAGCACAAGGAAACAAAUUUUGGCAAGGAAGGAAGGAAGGAAGAAUUUAGUUGAUUGAAUUCCAACACCCACCCUCUCAAUUCUUGAUUGGUUGAUGGUAAUUAUAUGCUUUUUUAAUCAGACCUCGGAAUGAUGAGAAAGAGAGAGAGAGAGAGAGAGAGAGAGAGGCCCUGACAGGAUUUGAAAUUAAAAUUCCUGCCAAAGCCAAAUAACAGCAACAACACCAUUAAUACACAAACUCUUGACAAAAAAAGAAAAAAAAGGAUUUAAGGGAGAGUAAAAAGUAAGGAUCAAGAUUAACCCCUUAUGAAACAUUAUUAGCAUCUUGGUCUUUCAGUUCUGUGUUAAUAUUUAUACAGGCUUCGACAUUAAUCUAAAAUAUCUUUGGCAGUGGUGGAAUGUCCAGAGUAGAAAGACUGGAAUUGCAGUGGCAGCAGUGGUAGUGGUGGUGGUGGUGGUGGUGAAGGUGGUGAGGGAGCAAGGGUUAGCAGUGAUGACAGUGUGUGGGUGUGUGUGUGUGGUCAGGGAGCAGUGUAGAGGGAUAGCAGGGGUAAGUGGUGGUGGCUGUCUGAUUAGGGAGCACAGUGGCCUCUUGGGACUAAGGGGGGGUGGUUGAUAGGGGGUUAGUGUAAGCUUGCAGUAAGCUUUAAUAGAUUAUUAAUACAAGUAUGUUAUUGUCGAAAAGUAGGUGGUGGCGGUGGUGAAGGCGGUGGCAGCAGUGGUGGUGGUGGUGGUUGUGACAGCAGUGAUGGUGGUGGUGGUGGGGGUGGUGGAGGUAAAGGAGUUAGUCCUCCUGAACAAUGCUGAUAUGGUGUUGGUGGUGUUAGUGGCGGUGGCGGUGAGCAGUGGAAGUGGAGGAUCUUAUUCCACCUGUACAAAGUUAAUGUGGUGGUGGUGGUGGUGGUGGUGGUGGUAGCAGUGUUGAGGCAGCAGUGACACAAAAAUAUACAAAGAAAUAACAAUAAUGACUAAUGGUAAGUUCAAUGGUGCGGUGAUGAGGGUGGUGGUGGUGGUGGUGGUUCAUAAAUGCUACCAGUAAGAGGGAGAGAAUAACGAUGAUGGUGGUGAUGAUGAUGAUGAUGAUGAUGAUGAUGGCAGAAGUUAUUCCAUGCUAAAGGAAGGGAUGAUAAAACGAAAAAAAAAAAAAGAAAAGAUAAAGAAAAGAAAAAAACAAACAUAAAAGCAAAAACCAAAUACUGUUAAUAAAAAAAAAAUAAUUACAAUAAUUGUCAUUUUGUCAUAGCCAAAAAGCCAGAAAUUU
RNAcentral lists this long non-coding RNA (2328 nucleotides) under Octopus vulgaris (common octopus). The record is from RNAcentral. Lineage: Eukaryota; Metazoa; Mollusca; Cephalopoda; Octopoda; Octopodidae.